CGGGGACUUUAGGCAGACUCCCCGCUCCCAAGACGCGCGAGUGUCCAAGCUCUGC
This 55-nucleotide non-coding RNA is filed under the name unclassified sequences. Its description in RNAcentral is "chromate-resist RNA". It matches the Rfam family "chrB-b RNA". The record is from RNAcentral.